UGGGAUUAGAUACCCUGUUAUUUAAAAUGUAAUUAUAAAGACUAAGGUAGUAUUAGAUAUGUUCUUUAAACUUAAAAAAUUUGGCGGUAUUUUAGUCUAUUCAGAGGAACCUGUUUUGUAAUCGAUAAUCCACGAUGGACCUUACUUAAGUUUGUUAAUCAGUUUAUAUACCGUUGUUAUUAGAAUAUUUUAUAAGAAUGUUAAUUUUCAUAAUUUUUAUAUAAAAAGUAUAUCAAAUCAAGGUGUAGCUUAUAUUUAAGUAUAAAUGGGUUACAAUAAAUUUAUUUAAACGGAUAUAAAUUUGAAAUGUUUAUUUAAGAUGGAUUUGAUAGUAAAAUUAUAUAGAUAAAUAAUUUGAUUUUAGCUCUAAAAUAUGCACAAAUCGCCCGUCACUCUCUGA
Molecule: ribosomal RNA, 400 nt
Filed under: Stevenia deceptoria
Lineage: Eukaryota; Metazoa; Arthropoda; Insecta; Diptera; Rhinophoridae
Description: partial small subunit ribosomal RNA
Source: RNAcentral